Molecule: ribosomal RNA, 1342 nt
Filed under: Enterococcus faecalis
Lineage: Bacteria; Bacillati; Bacillota; Bacilli; Lactobacillales; Enterococcaceae
Description: bacterial SSU rRNA
Rfam family: Bacterial small subunit ribosomal RNA
Source: RNAcentral
GGGGGGUGACCUAUACAUGCAGUCGAACGCUUCUUUCCUCCCGAGUGCUUGCACUCAAUUGGAAAGAGGAGUGGCGGACGGGUGAGUAACACGUGGGUAACCUACCCAUCAGAGGGGGAUAACACUUGGAAACAGGUGCUAAUACCGCAUAACAGUUUAUGCCGCAUGGCAUAAGAGUGAAAGGCGCUUUCGGGUGUCGCUGAUGGAUGGACCCGCGGUGCAUUAGCUAGUUGGUGAGGUAACGGCUCACCAAGGCCACGAUGCAUAGCCGACCUGAGAGGGUGAUCGGCCACACUGGGACUGAGACACGGCCCAGACUCCUACGGGAGGCAGCAGUAGGGAAUCUUCGGCAAUGGACGAAAGUCUGACCGAGCAACGCCGCGUGAGUGAAGAAGGUUUUCGGAUCGUAAAACUCUGUUGUUAGAGAAGAACAAGGACGUUAGUAACUGAACGUCCCCUGACGGUAUCUAACCAGAAAGCCACGGCUAACUACGUGCCAGCAGCCGCGGUAAUACGUAGGUGGCAAGCGUUGUCCGGAUUUAUUGGGCGUAAAGCGAGCGCAGGCGGUUUCUUAAGUCUGAUGUGAAAGCCCCCGGCUCAACCGGGGAGGGUCAUUGGAAACUGGGAGACUUGAGUGCAGAAGAGGAGAGUGGAAUUCCAUGUGUAGCGGUGAAAUGCGUAGAUAUAUGGAGGAACACCAGUGGCGAAGGCGGCUCUCUGGUCUGUAACUGACGCUGAGGCUCGAAAGCGUGGGGAGCAAACAGGAUUAGAUACCCUGGUAGUCCACGCCGUAAACGAUGAGUGCUAAGUGUUGGAGGGUUUCCGCCCUUCAGUGCUGCAGCAAACGCAUUAAGCACUCCGCCUGGGGAGUACGACCGCAAGGUUGAAACUCAAAGGAAUUGACGGGGGCCCGCACAAACGGUGGAACAUGUGGUUUAAUUCCAAGCAACGCGAAGAACCUUACCAGGUCUUGACAUCCUUUGACCACUCUAGAAAUAGAGCUUUCCCUUCGGGGACAAAGUGACAGGUGGUGCAUGGUUGUCGUCAGCUCGUGUCGUGAGAUGUUGGGUUAAGUCCCGCAACGAGCGCACCCUUAUUGUUAGUGCCAUCAUUUAGUUGGGCCUCUAGCGAGACUGCCGGUGACAACCGGAGGAAGGUGGGGAUGACUUCAAUCAUCAUGCCCCUUAUGACUGGGGUACCACUUGCUUCAAUGGGAAGUAACCAAGUCCUUGACCGCGGGGCUUGGAAUUCUUUAAAGUUCUUCAAUUCCGAUUGAGGGGGGACCCUCCCCGUGAAACCGGAAUCCUUUAAUCGCGAAACACACCGCGGGAAACUUUCGGGG